RNAcentral lists this ribosomal RNA (468 nucleotides) under uncultured bacterium. Its description in RNAcentral is "partial 16S ribosomal RNA". It matches the Rfam family "Bacterial small subunit ribosomal RNA", at positions 28 to 507 of the family's 1533-position model. The record is from RNAcentral.
GACGAACGCUGGCGGCGUGCUUAACACAUGCAAGUCGAACGGAAAGGCCCUGCUUUUGUGGGGUGCUCGAGUGGCGAACGGGUGAGUAACACGUGAGUAACCUGCCCUUGACUUUGGGAUAACUUCAGGAAACUGGGGCUAAUACCGGAUAGGAGCUCCUGCUGCAUGGUGGGGGUUGGAAAGAUUCGGCGGUUGGGGAUGGACUCGCGGCUUAUCAGCUUGUUGGUGGGGUAGUGGCUGACCAAGGCUUUGACGGGUAGCCGGCCUGAGAGGGUGACCGGCCACAUUGGGACUGAGAUACGGCCCAGACUCCUACGGGACGCAGCAGUGGGGAAUAUUGCGCAAUAGGCGGAAGCCUGAUGCAGCAACGCCGCGUGCGGGAUGGCGGCCUUCGGGUUGUAAACCGCUUUCGCCUGUGACGAAGCGUGAGUGACGGUAAUGGGUAAAGAAGCACCGGCUAACUACGUG